GACGAACGCUGGCGGCGUGCUUAACACAUGCAAGUCGAACGGAAAGGCCCUGCUUUUGUGGGGUGCUCGAGUGGCGAACGGGUGAGUAACACGUGAGUAACCUGCCCUUGACUUUGGGAUAACUUCAGGAAACUGGGGCUAAUACCGGAUAGGAGCUCCUGCUGCAUGGUGGGGGUUGGAAAGUUUCGGCGGUUGGGGAUGGACUCGCGGCUUAUCAGCUUGUUGGUGGGGUAGUGGCUUACCAAGGCUUUGACGGGUAGCCGGCCUGAGAGGGUGACCGGCCACAUGGGGACUGAGAUACGGCCCAGACUCCUACGGGAGGCAGCAGUGGGGAAUAUUGCACAAUGGGCGGAAGCCUGAUGCAGCAACGCCGCGUGCGGGAUGACGGCCUUCGGGUUGUAAACCGCUUUCGCCUGUGACGAAGCGUGAGUGACGGUAAUGGGUAAAGAGGCACCGGCUAACUACG
RNAcentral lists this ribosomal RNA (466 nucleotides) under uncultured bacterium. RNAcentral describes it as "partial 16S ribosomal RNA". It matches the Rfam family "Bacterial small subunit ribosomal RNA", at positions 28 to 505 of the family's 1533-position model. The record is from RNAcentral.